Long non-coding RNA from Triticum dicoccoides, 395 nucleotides. RefSeq lists it as uncharacterized. The transcript is spliced from 3 exons. Lineage: Eukaryota; Viridiplantae; Streptophyta; Magnoliopsida; Poales; Poaceae. The record is from RefSeq and is a predicted model, not a curated record.
UCAUCCUUCUCUUUCUCACCAAGACGGACCUCCUCUCCUGUCUGAGAUUUGUACCCAAGUGAGCAGCUGUACUGAAGAGCAUCGAAUGCUUUGAAGUGCUCUAUCUAUCCUGACAUCACAAGUGCUCUGACAUUAGAAGUUGGCUUUAUCCGAAGACUUUGUGUUCAAUUGCUUGGUGCCUUUUGAUUCGUCGAUCAUUGAGAAGUUUUCACUCGGAGCAAGAAAGGUAUGUGACGCAGUCAUCCCUUUGACAUGGCCACUGAGCAAGCUUAAAUUAUGCAAAACUACUGCUCUUGUGAUGUUGUUUUUCUCUGCCUAGUAUUGAAAGUGGUCUUAUUUUAGUAUAUGAGAAAACUGAUGCUCUUAAUUAUGUACUUAGAUGUUACAAUAGAAAU